AGGCAGCAGUUGGGAAUAUUGCACAAUGGGCGGAAGCCUGAUGCAGCGACGCCGCGUGAGGGAUGACGGCCUUCGGGUUGUAAACCUCUUUCAGCAGGGACGAAGCGUAAGUGACGGUACCUGCAGAAGAAGCACCGGCUAACUACGUGCCAGCAGCCGCGGUAAUACGUAGGGUGCGAGCGUUGUCCGGAAUUACUGGGCGUAAAGAGCUCGUAGGCGGUUUGUCACGUCGUCUGUGAAAUCCUAGGGCUUAACCCUGGACGUGCAGGCGAUACGGGCUGACUUGAGUACUACAGGGGAGACUGGAAUUUCCGGUGUAGCGGUGGAAUGCACAGAUAUCAGGAAGAACACCGAUGGCGAAGGCAGGUCUCUGGGUAGUAACUGACGCUGAGGAGCGAAAGCAUGGGUAGCGAACAGGAUUAGAUACCCUAGUAGUCC
RNAcentral lists this ribosomal RNA (438 nucleotides) under uncultured bacterium. RNAcentral's name for it is "bacterial SSU rRNA". It matches the Rfam family "Bacterial small subunit ribosomal RNA", at positions 346 to 796 of the family's 1533-position model. The record is from RNAcentral.